RNAcentral lists this long non-coding RNA (4089 nucleotides) under Volvox carteri. RNAcentral's name for it is "long non-coding RNA (VCAR_LNC000701)". The record is from RNAcentral. Lineage: Eukaryota; Viridiplantae; Chlorophyta; Chlorophyceae; Chlamydomonadales; Volvocaceae.
UUACUCCAACACGGUUUGAAUACAUAACCCACGCUCCUUUAAAUUCAGAUCAGAGCUUAGGUGCUGCCGCAGCUGCAAAAUGCAGCAACACUGACGGCGACCUGCAGCCUUAAAAUUCCCGUGGAUGCUGUCCACUAAAUAUUUGGGGUGGACGCAGCUGAAGCAGAACCUGCAAGAACCAGUUUGGCGUUUGGCGCAAUGAGGGUCUUUCCAUUGGCUGGUCCUAAAUUUUCGUUCGGCACGCCCGCGCGGACACCUGGCCCAGACGAGACACCGCCCUGGAGCGAUGCUAACCGCUUCCUUGCCAGCGCGCUGCUCGCAACGACAAGACGUGCGUUUAGUUUAGCUCUGUAACUCAUUCUCAGAGCAAGCGAGAGACCGGGAGAAACUUGAACUCGCCGAACUAGCGUUUGUCAUGCAAGCCCCCACAAGCUCCUUGCCAGGCCGCGCGUUUUCAGCGCACAUGCUUUAGGGCCGGCCGGGUUUCCUUAGGGCCGUUCGGGUCCGCAGCUGAAUAGGCAUAUAUUUGGUACGUUGACCAGUGCAGUCCACGGCGCUUGGAAGCGACAGAGACCUGCUAUGCAAAAUCGGCGAGUGCCAUUUCCGCGUCGAUGUCCUUCCAAGGAACUCCUGAUGAGUACCUUGGAACUCAUAUGAAUGACGAGGCUCGCUUGAGGCAGCUUCGCGUACAGCAUGGCCAUGUCAACCUCGUGUCGGGUCAACACGCCUCGCGUUUGCCGGAGUACCACCAGUUGCAUCAUUCACCAGUUGCAUCAUCGUGGGCUAACGUAGCUUCAAAGUGAGCAAUGGCGUACAAUCCGUAUGUCCGAUAAAAGUUGUGUACAGUGGGCCCAAUGGGUAAUGAAAUUAAGGAAAUUUCUUAACUUUCCAUAUAAACUAUGGAUAUUUACUAACCGCUGGCCAAUGGAAAGACCCUCAAUGACGCCAGAUGAGAGGCAGCAUAUGUGCGCUGUUGUCACAGAGGCUGGCUUAGACUCCGCUGAUUUAGAUGAAGAGGACUUGCAGUUACUGUGGACAGCUAAGUUCCGCACCGCUGCGCGCCUGCGUGCAGCUAGACGGGAAGAUCUCCUUGAUGCGCACCUGGCGCCUGGCGUGGUGGUCGGCAUUCUGCAGGCCUUAGGUACAUUCUAAGCGUGGUUCCUGUGCCACCAACUGGGUCAUCCUUUGCCGAGGAGCCUGUGUUGCAUAGACUCCAGCUCNNNNNNNNNNNNNNNNNNNNNNNNNNNNNNNNNNNNNNNNNNNNNNNNNNAGACCAUGGUAGAGCAGCAGGGCCAGGAGCUUGGAUUCCCUGGCGUGUGGUGGCAAGGGGAAAGUGGCACUGAGUUUGAAGUUUCAGAUUAAUACGGGUGAGAGACAUGCUGGCUAUGUGAACAUGAUUGGAGAGGGUGUCAUUGCCUGGCAUAUUGCAGUGCACAGAAGGGGCCCGUGAGCCGCCUGAUAACCUCACGAGUAGCUUCUAUGUAUGUGUCAUCCUGAGGGUGAUGGGUGGUGGUGGUCGGUUUACAGAAAUAAGUGGACUAGCAUGCAGCACAGUUCUACUUUGCAUUGUGAUGAAGGCCCUCAGUGCACCAUUACUUCCUAUAACCCAAACCCUAUCACAGCCUCUAUUUCGUACAUUGUUCAUGCACCCUUCAAGUUUCUGAGGAUGGUGAGGGGGAAGGGGACAGAGGACUGUCACACAGGCCCCUCCUUAAGGUCAUGAAACACACCUCCUCUCUGGCACCCCUUCCCCCCUUUCCUUCCCGCUGCUGCUGCUGCUGCUGUUGAGAUUCCGCCGAUAUCCGGCUCUCCUCACCUGGAGUUGGGCUCUCAACUGUAUGACUCCGAAUGGCUCGCAUGGACGCUGCUAUCUGGAUGCAGGUCUUCUUGACCCUGCUCCUCUGCCCUACCCGCACCCGCACCCCACACCUCGGACCCCCGUGACGUGUAGGCGGUUGAACCCCCUUGUUGCCCUUGCCUCAUCAUCAUCAUCAUCACCAUCAUCACCGUCAUCAGCAUCACCAGCAUCACCAGCUUCACCAGCAUCAGCAUCACCAUCACCAGCAUCAUCACCAGCAUCAUUACCAUUACCAUUACCAGCAGCAGCAGCAUCACUAUCACCAGCAUCACCAGCAUCACCAGCAUCACCACCACCAGCAUCACUAUCACCAGCAUCACCAUCACCAGCAUCACCAUCACCAGCAUCACCAUCACCAGCAUCACCAUCACCAGCAUCAUCACCAGCAUCAUUACCAUUACCAUCACCAGCAUCAUCACCAUCACCAGCAUCAUCAUCAUUACCAUCACCAUCAUCACCAUUCAUCGUCACCAGCAUCGUCGUCGUCAUUGUCCUGUGACGACCUCCCACCCCCCACCCUCCUCAGACUGGCACUUGAGGUCCAGUCCUGGUAUCGGCAGCAGCUGGAGGCCCGACCCGUCAGGUUCAUGGAGAUAGUGGCAAUGAAGGGUAGGGCCGCGUGUGUAUGUAUGUAUGACUUAGAUUACACUGUGGGCUGCGAGAGCCGCGGGCCAAAGCCGAAACACAACGCAAGGGUCAGGAGCACACAGCACAAGUCGGUUAGUCUUGUGUGCUCCCGACACCAACUCAGACUGCCAACACUCUACACAGCCACUCCGCAGCCCCUCCAUCCAGGGAUGGCGCUGCAGUGAAAACACCACGAAGGGCUCUCAGGUCCCGCUAGAGUGAGUCCACAAGUCUCAGCUAGGGCAAAGUCAAAGGCUCUCUGAAACAACCCCCCAAAACACCACCAAUGAAAACGGAAAAUAAAAAUAUGGUUAGGGCAGUCCCGGCAGGGGAGGGCUGCUGAUACACCUAACAUGCCAAUAAAAACCCUCCAAGAGAGAAAGGCUAAGAGAGCUCGACACCACAAGAUGUCUUGCAGCCACCUUACAACAACUGACCUCCUCUACCUGUCCCUUCCUGGGCUGGUCCAGUGGAGAAGUAGCCAUAUAAAGAAAAGGGACCACACACAAGCCCAAUCACCACUGCAGGAGCCCGGGAUAGACCAGCAGAACCACAAAAGCGAUGUAUGUAUGUAUGUAUGUAUGUAUGUAUGUAUGUAUGUAUGUGGCGUAUUGAUGUGUGUCCAUGUUUGCAGGUUCACGCUUAAGUGCUGCUUGGUGACUUCUCAAGUGCCACCUCAUGAAUCCACAACAUGGACGAGCUGCUCUACACGCUUCAAGCGUGCUGAUGAACUCCACGAGGCCUUAGGAAGGGGCUUAUGUGUCUUGAACGAAGAACUUGAAUGAGUAAUCAUUUUUAUACUGUGGUGGUGCUGGUGGUGAUUCCGAGAGGACACGGAUGAAUUGUCAGAACGAGACUUGGGCUGCCGCCACGACUAUUUUUUUCGCAAAACCCGACUUUGGUCCGAAUUGCAGCCCAAGGCAGCGGGCGCGUGUUUUGCACGUGAGCGGCCGGUAGCCCCUCCUCAAGCACGCGCAUGGUGACCAGGUCAUAUGCGCUGAGAGCAUAGACCUGCCUUCUAACCUGCCCAUCGGGAUGAAAAAACAACAGCUCACACUUUCGCGCGUUGACAGUAAGACCGACAGCCUCCGUUGUGGGGACAGACGUUUUGCUGACCAGUACGGCCCGUACAACAUGUAACAUCUUGAUGUUGUCUUGUUUUGUCUUUUGCAAAAUAUCUUCCAGGUACUCCGUGUGACUUACUCCAACACGGUUUGAAUACAUAACCCACGCUCCUUUAAAUUCAGAUCAGAGCUUAGGAGCUGCCGCAGCUGCAAAAUGCAGCAACACUGACGGCGACCUGCAGCCUUAAAAUUCCCGUGGAUGCUGUCCACUAAAUGUUUGGGGUGGACGCAGCUGAAGCAGAACCUGCAAGAACCAGUUUGGCGUUUGGCGCAAUGAGGGUCUUUCCAUUGGCUGGUCCUAAAUUUUCGUUCGGCACGCCCACGCGGACACCUGGCCCAGACGAGACACCGCCCUGGAGCGAUGCUAACCGCUUCCUUGCCAGCGCGCUGCUCGCAACGACAAGACGUGCGUUUAGUUUAGCUCUGUAACUCAUUCUCAGAGCAAGCGAGAGACCGGGAGAAACUUGAACUCGCCGAACU